GGCUUUUUGAUUAUAAUUUAAAGUCUGACCUGCCCAAUGAGUUAUUAAAUGGCCGCAGUAUCUUGACUGUGCAAAGGUAGCAUAAUCACUAGUUUUUUAAAUGAAAGCUUGUAUGAAAGGUUUAAUGAGAAAAAUACUGUCUCUGUUUAAAUAAUAUUAGAAUUUUAUUUUUAAGUAAAAAAGCUUAAAUAUUUAUAGAAGACGAGAAGRCCCUAUAGAAUUUUAUAUUUUUAUUGAAUUUAUUAAAUUAGAAUUUUAUAAAUAUGUUUAAUAGAAAUAUUUGGUUGGGGUGAUAAAAAAAUUUAUUUAACUUUUUUUUAAUUUAAACAUAGAUUAAUGAGUAUUUGAUCCUUAAUAUAAAGAUAAAAAGAAAAAAUUACCUUAGGGAUAACAGCGUAAUUUUUUUUAGAGUUCUUAUCAAAAAAAAAGAUUGCGACCUCGAUGUUGGAUUAAAAUAAAUUGUUGGUGUAGAAGCUGAUAUUUUAGGUCUGUUCGACCUUUAAAUUUUUACAUGAUC
RNAcentral lists this ribosomal RNA (517 nucleotides) under Onyxacalles torre. Its description in RNAcentral is "partial 16S ribosomal RNA". It matches the Rfam family "Bacterial large subunit ribosomal RNA", at positions 1819 to 2605 of the family's 2925-position model. The record is from RNAcentral. Lineage: Eukaryota; Metazoa; Arthropoda; Insecta; Coleoptera; Curculionidae.